This 517-nucleotide long non-coding RNA is filed under the name Phoenix dactylifera (date palm). RNAcentral describes it as "long non-coding RNA (PDAC_LNC022676)". The record is from RNAcentral. Lineage: Eukaryota; Viridiplantae; Streptophyta; Magnoliopsida; Arecales; Arecaceae.
UAGACAAUACCACACUAUUAUUAGGAAAAUGAAACACUAACUGGGAAAAGAAAUAGUAACACUAUCCCUCAUACAUCUUAGCACUUUGCUGAAAGGGAACUUGCACACUGUAAGGGUUCCUUUUUCUUAAUCAAUUUGAUCUCUGUUUUUCUUAAAAAGAUCAGCAUUAGGAAGGAAGUACCUAAGUUGCUAUAAAUCUUUCCAUAAGAAAAGUUUAGGGGUCAUUAAAUUGAAAGGGAUGUAGCCCUUAUCUUAAAAAAGUCAAAUGAAGGUAAUAAGAGGAAAAGUAGAGACAGGAUACAAAUGAGCACGGAAGCUUGGUGCAUCAGCAAGACAACUGAGGUACAGUGAAGAAAAUUUUUUGUCUCCUUUAUCUGGUUUCUUGUAGGUGGCUAUGUCGGGCACUAAAAACACGUAGACAGUUGACCCCCAACAGCUCACCUCAAUUUCAAUAGGAAAUAAGUCAAACUGGAUGGAAAUCCAAGUUCAUGACUGUGUGAUCAUAGCAAAAAGGGCA